Molecule: ribosomal RNA, 404 nt
Filed under: uncultured bacterium
Lineage: Bacteria
Also listed under: 1 other name
Description: bacterial SSU rRNA
Rfam family: Bacterial small subunit ribosomal RNA
Source: RNAcentral
UGGGGAAUAUUGGACAAUGGGGGCAACCCUGAUCCAGCAAUGCCGCGUGAGUGAUGAAGGCCUUAGGGUUGUAAAGCUCUUUUGGCGGGGACGAUGAUGACGGUACCCGCAGAAUAAGCCCCGGCUAACUUCGUGCCAGCAGCCGCGGUAAUACGAAGGGGGCGAGCGUUGUUCGGAAUUACUGGGCGUAAAGGGCGCGUAGGCGGCGAUCCUAGUCAGAUGUGAAAGUCCUGGGCUUAACCUGGGGACUGCAUUUGAUACUGGAUUGCUUGAAUUCGGGAGAGGAUAGCGGAAUUCCCAGUGUAGAGGUGAAAUUCGUAGAUAUUGGGAAGAACACCGGUGGCGAAGGCGGCUAUCUGGACCGACAUUGACGCUGAGGCGCGAAAGCGUGGGGAGCAAACAGG